ACUCAAAUGAAUUGACGGGGGCCCGCACAAGUGGUGGAGCAUGUGGUUUAAUUCGACGCUACGCGAAGAACCUUACCCGGGUUUGAAUUGCAGUGGUUGUAGUCAGUAGAGAUACUGGCGAGGGGGCAACCCCGCUGCUGUGAAGGUGCUGCAUGGCUGUCGUCAGCUCGUGCCGUGAGGUGUUGGGUUAAGUCCCGCAACGAGCGCAACCCUUAUCUUUAGUUGCCAGCAUGUUAUGGUGGGCACUCUGGAGAGACUGCCGACACAAGUCGGAGGAAGGUGGGGAUGACGUCAAGUCAGCAUGGCCCUUACGUCCGGGGCUACACACGUGCUACAAUGGUCGGUACAACGGGCAGCGAGACCGCGAGGUGGAGCGAAUCCCUUUAAAGCCGAUCUCAGUUCGGAUUGUAGGCUGCAACUCGCCUACAUGAAGUUGGAAUCACUAGUAACCGCAGAUCAGCUACGCUGUGGUGAAUACGUUCCCGGGCCUUGCACACACCGCCCGU
RNAcentral lists this ribosomal RNA (506 nucleotides) under uncultured bacterium. RNAcentral describes it as "partial 16S ribosomal RNA". It matches the Rfam family "Bacterial small subunit ribosomal RNA", at positions 899 to 1397 of the family's 1533-position model. The record is from RNAcentral.